RNAcentral lists this ribosomal RNA (484 nucleotides) under uncultured bacterium. RNAcentral describes it as "partial 16S ribosomal RNA". It matches the Rfam family "Bacterial small subunit ribosomal RNA", at positions 30 to 507 of the family's 1533-position model. The record is from RNAcentral.
AUUGAACGCUGGCGGCAGGCCUAACACAUGCAAGUCGAGCGGAUGAAGGGAGCUUGCUCCUGGAUUCAGCGGCGGACGAGUGAGUAAUGCCUAGGAAUCUGCCUGGUAGUGGGGGAUAACGUCCGGAAACGGGCGCUAAUACCGCAUACGUCCUGAGGGAGAAAGUGGGGGAUCUUCGGACCUCACGCUAUCAGCUGAGCCUAGGUCGGAUUAGCUAGUUGGUGGGGUAAAGGCCUACCAAGGCGACGAUCCGUAACUGGUCUGAGAGGAUGAUCAGUCACACUGGAACUGAGACACGGCCCAGACUCCUACGGGAGGCAGCAGUGGGGAAUAUUGGACAAUGGGCGAAAGCCUGAUCCAGCCAUGCCGCGUGUGUGAAGAAGGUCUUCGGAUUGUAAAGCACUUUAAGUUGGGAGGAAGGGCAGUAAGUUAAUACCUUGCUGUUUUGACGUUACCAACAGAAUAAGCACCGGCUAACUUCGUG